AGGCGAACAUUGAAAUCUCAGAGACAAAAACCCCCCAAAAUUUUGAGGCAGAAAAAAAAGAUUUACGACUUCUUCGAUCCGAAUCGACCUCGCUCGUUGGUCUAGGGUUCGUCCAAACCUAUGUAAAUCAGAAAAUUCUGAUAAUUUUGCAGUACGACUUCCAAAUCGAUCCAUUCCAUAUAUAUAUAUAUAUAUCAGCUUUAUCUCAUAAACUGCAAUUAAUGGAUUGCCAUGUGCUAUCGUCGAUAGUUGGCAUCUUCGGUAUCUCUCUCAUCUAGGAUUUCUGUAUUUGUUAUCUUUUGUGUUCUGUGUGUAUAGAAAGGGAAGAUGAAUGUGUCAAAGUCUCAGGUAUGGCAGCCUUGUAAGAAGAAGAGAUCUUGAUUUUAUAUCUAUAUAUACAGAGAGAGAGGAGAGUCAGAGAAACAAUGGAUGGCAUCUGUAUUGAAGUGUUAAGGUGAAGGCAGUCUUGCAAAAAAAGAAGAGAUAUCGAUUUUAUGUGUAUAAAGACGCGAGCUUUUUAGUGAGAGAAACAAUGGAUGGUAUCUGAAUUGAAGUGUAAGGUGAGGCAGUCUUACAAAAAAGAAGAGAUCUUGAAGGUUAAAGACACAUCUGUAGAGAGAGAGAGGGGGGGUUUUAGAGUGAGAAAUGGCUUCUAGCGCAAGCGGAAGUAGUAGGACUCGUGUGGGGAAGUACGAGCUGGGACGGACGCUCGGGGAGGGAAGCUUUGCGAAGGUGAAGUUUGCUCGGAACUUGGAGACUGGUGAGAACGUCGCUAUCAAAAUUCUCAAUAAAGAAAAAGUUCUCAAGCAUAAGAUGAUCGGUCAGAUUAAACGGGAAAUUUCUACCAUGAAACUAAUCAGACACCCAAAUGUCAUCCGCAUGUAUGAGGUUAUGGCUAGCAAGACAAAAAUAUACAUUGUUUUGGAAUUCGUUACUGGUGGUGAACUGUUUGACAAAAUUUCUACUAGAGGAAGGUUUAAAGAAGAUGAAGCAAGAAAGUACUUUCAGCAGCUCAUUAAUACAGUGGAUUAUUGCCACAGCAGAGGCGUUUUCCAUAGAGAUCUGAAGCCAGAGAAUCUACUGCUGGAUGCAAAUGGAGUUCUUAAAGUUUCAGACUUUGGAUUAAGCGCUCUACCUCAGCAAGUUAGAGAAGAUGGGUUACUGCACACGACAUGUGGAACUCCAAAUUAUGUUGCUCCUGAGGUUAUUAACAAUAAAGGUUACGAUGGUGCUAAGGCAGAUCUGUGGUCCUGUGGCGUAAUUCUUUUUGUCAUUAUGGCAGGCUUUUUGCCUUUUGAAGACUCGAACCUCAUGGCACUGUACAAAAAGAUAUUCAAGGCUGACUUCACUUGCCCUCCAUGGUUCUCUUCGAGUGUUAAGAAACUAAUCAAAAGAAUCCUGGACCCUAAUCCCUCAACACGCAUUACAAUUGCUGAGGUCAUCGAGAAUGAUUGGUUUAAGAAAGGAUAUAAGCCACCCAAAUUUGAACAGGCAGAUGUUAGUCUCGAUGACGUGGAGGCUAUUUUUGAUGAAUCAGAGGACUCUCGAAACCUUGUUGUGGAGAGGCGCGAAGAACAACCUGCAAUGCCCGUCACUAUGAAUGCUUUUGAGCUUAUCUCUACAUCUAUGGGUCUGAACCUUGGAUCUCUCUUUGAAAAGCAAAUGGGGCUUGUUAAGCGAGAAACAAGAUUUACAUCUAGAUGUCCUGCCAAAGAGAUUAUUUCAAAAAUUGAGGAAGCUGCGGUGCCUUUGGGUUUUGAUGUAAAGAAAAAUAACUACAAGAUGAAGCUGCAAGGGGAGAAAACUGGGCGUAAGGGUCAUCUAUCUGUUGCAACAGAGAUUUUUGAAGUCGCUCCCUCACUUUACAUGGUUGAGCUUCGCAAGUCUGGAGGGGAUACCUUAGAAUUUCACAAGGCUCUCCGGGCAGAUCAGAGGCAGGACCCAUUAUUGCCACCUCUCGCCUACCAUUAUUAUUAUUAUUUUGAGAGUUCUACAAUAAUCUGUCAAUUGGGUUGAAGGAUAUUGUCUGGAGAUCAGAUGGUCAAACGAUAGAGCAAGGAAAUGAAGGUGCUGGUAUUGUGCCAUCUUGAUUAUUGGCUCUUGUAAAAUGUUAUAUAUCUGUGAAAUCUGGCAGACUUGUAAUCGUCAUAUUCUAGAAAUUGAAUAUUAAGGCUUGCUAAAUUGUAUAACUGUUACAUAUUGUUUGUAUACUGUUUGGUACCACUAUGUUCCAUUCUUUUCGGGUUUGGAGUUUGUUAAACAGGACAAGCAUUUAUAAAUACCUGAGUUUGGUUUGAAUCAUUCAA
Cornus florida is the source of this 2306-nucleotide RNA transcript. It is a transcript of the gene named CBL-interacting serine/threonine-protein kinase 23-like, with no coding region annotated. NCBI's taxonomy places the organism in Eukaryota, Viridiplantae, Streptophyta, Magnoliopsida, Cornales, Cornaceae. The record is from RefSeq and is a predicted model, not a curated record. The transcript is spliced from 16 exons.